RNAcentral lists this long non-coding RNA (619 nucleotides) under Brassica napus (rape). Its description in RNAcentral is "long non-coding RNA (BNAP_LNC025222)". Lineage: Eukaryota; Viridiplantae; Streptophyta; Magnoliopsida; Brassicales; Brassicaceae. The record is from RNAcentral.
UUUUGGGGCCUAAUACAUAAGGUUGCACCGGCCAAUACCUUCAAGUCACGGUUUCGACAUUUCCUCUUGCCCUUUUUUUGGAGAUCCUUAUGACAAAAAUAACACUAAAUCAAGUUUAUGUUCCCAAACUAUCAGUCAAAAGUCACAAAAAUAACACUUAGUGUUUUAUCAAAAGUCACAAACUUAAGUUUAGAGUUAAAGGGUGGGGUUUAGGAUCUAGGGUUUAGGGUUUAGGGUUUAGGGUUUAGGGUUUAGGGUUUAGGGUUUAGGGUUUAGGGUUUAGAGUUUAGGGUUUAGGGUUUAGGGUUUAGGGUUUAGGGUUUAGGGUUUAGGGUUUAGAGUUGAAAAAUGAGGUUUUGGGGAUAAGAUUUCAAAUUUUGAAAAAUAAAAAAAUUAAAAUUUUCAAAGGAUAAACUUAGAAAUGUGCUAUUUUGGUCAUUUUAGUUUUUGAGUGCUAUUUUUGUUAUAUAAACAUAGAAAAGUGCUAUUUUGGAGAUUUACCUUUCCUUAUACAUGGAUCAAUUUUAUUAUUUUGUUAAUCAAACUAGACAUGGCAAAUUAAAAACCAAACCAAAUUACAAAAGUAAACCAAAAAGAAGAAUAAAUAUUUUUAUAUUUC